Non-coding RNA from Acanthosepion pharaonis, 111 nucleotides. The record is from the annotation of a GenBank genome assembly. Lineage: Eukaryota; Metazoa; Mollusca; Cephalopoda; Sepiida; Sepiidae.
UUACGGCCAUAUCACGUUGAAAUACCGGUUCCUGUACGACCGCCGAAGUUAAGCAACAUCAAGCCUGGUCAUUUACUAGAUGCGUGGCCGCUAGGGAAUACCAGAUGAUGU